UUGGUGGUUCAGUGGUAGAAUUCUCGCCUG
Molecule: non-coding RNA, 30 nt
Filed under: Xenopus tropicalis (tropical clawed frog)
Lineage: Eukaryota; Metazoa; Chordata; Amphibia; Anura; Pipidae
Also listed under: 8 other names
Source: RNAcentral